GUGCUCGCUUGGGUAGCACAUGUACUAAAAUUGGAACAAUACAGAGAAGAUUAGCAUGCCCCCUGUGCAAGGACGACAUGUAAACGUGUGAAGCAUUCCAUAGUUUU
Molecule: small nuclear RNA, 107 nt
Organism: Myodes glareolus (Bank vole)
Lineage: Eukaryota; Metazoa; Chordata; Mammalia; Rodentia; Cricetidae
Source: RefSeq, a predicted model, not a curated record